AACGCACAUUGCGCCUAUUAGUAUUCUAGUAGGCAUGCCUGUUCGAGCGUCAUUAAGUCCACAUUAAGCCUCGUUGCUUAGCGUUGGGAAUUUAUAGAGAUAUAAUUCCUUAAAAUUAGUGGCAGAAGUGAAUCACACUCUGAGCGUAGUAAUAUUUUAUCUCGCUUUUGCAGUUGGUUUGCUUGUCGCCGUUAAACACCCCCUUUUUUAAUGGUUGACCUCGGAUCAGGUAGGAAUACCCGCUGAACUUAA
This 252-nucleotide unclassified non-coding RNA is filed under the name uncultured Xylariales. Its description in RNAcentral is "sequence contains 5.8S rRNA gene, ITS2, 28S rRNA gene". The record is from RNAcentral. Lineage: Eukaryota; Fungi; Ascomycota; Sordariomycetes; Xylariales.